This 215-nucleotide unclassified non-coding RNA is filed under the name soil metagenome. RNAcentral's name for it is "partial contains 5.8S ribosomal RNA, internal transcribed spacer 2, and large subunit ribosomal RNA". The record is from RNAcentral.
AACGCACGAGACCUGCGGACCUGCGGAGGGAUCAUUACCGAGUUUACAACUCCCAAACCCAUGUGAACAUACCUACUGUUGCUUCGGCGGGAUUGCCCCGGGCGCCUCGUGUGCCCCGGAUCAGGCGCCCGCCUAGGAAACUUAACUCUUGUUUUAUUUUGGAAUCUUCUGAGUAGUUUUUACAAAUAAAUAAAAACUUUCAACAAUGGAUCUCU